This 668-nucleotide long non-coding RNA is filed under the name Phoenix dactylifera (date palm). RNAcentral describes it as "long non-coding RNA (PDAC_LNC010978)". Lineage: Eukaryota; Viridiplantae; Streptophyta; Magnoliopsida; Arecales; Arecaceae. The record is from RNAcentral.
UUAUCCGGAAUGCUAUCGGGAUACUCGGAUGCGGUGCAUGGAGUUGGGGUCACGGGAGGAUGAAGCCGAGGAAGAGAUAUGCAUCGCGGGAUGGCUUGCGGAUGAGGUUGAUCCGGAACAGGGGAGCUUGGUCUGUGGACGCGACGUGGAAGGAAUCCGUCGCGGGUUGGGAUGAAGCAACGGACUCGUGAGCUGGGAUAAGAGCAUGCUUCAUUUGGCUGGGAACCGGAAGAGGCCAAUCCUAGAAUUCUUUAGGAUCCGUGCGGCUAAAGAUGAUAUAUUUUGAAAUCUGUGAGACAAAUGAUCGAAGGGAUUGUAUUAUUUUUAACGUUAAAACAGGAGAAUUGGAAUGAGUGGGAAGAAAUUUAGGUGAACUUGGAAAACACUGGAUUUUGGAGAAAAGUUCUUGAAGUCGACUCCGGAGAAUGUGAAAUUGUGAAAUGAUGUAGUGUCCGUUUAGGCUUUACCUAAUUAAGCUCGACUCGACCUAAUGCAUUAAGCUUAAUCAAUAAAUAAUCAAAUCAAACUUGAAUUACCUUUGAUAAUUUAUUAAAAUGCAAUGAUGAAGGUAAUACAUUUUUUAGUUAAAUUUACAAAAUAUGUGAAUUAAAAUAAUGAUAAGUGCUAUGAAUAAGAUAUUAGUUUAUGCAUUAUUUAGCACUUAUCAC